This 253-nucleotide ribosomal RNA is filed under the name uncultured bacterium. RNAcentral describes it as "partial 16S ribosomal RNA". It matches the Rfam family "Bacterial small subunit ribosomal RNA", at positions 524 to 776 of the family's 1533-position model. The record is from RNAcentral.
UACGAAGGGGGCGAGCGUUGUUCGGAUUUACUGGGCGUAAAGGGCGCGUAGGCGGCCCUGUUUGUCAGGCGUGAAAGCCCUGGGCUCAACCUGGGAACUGCGCUUGGGACGGCGGGGCUUGAGUUCGGGAGAGGAGAGUGGAAUUACCAGUGUAGAGGUGAAAUUCGUAGAUAUUGGGAAGAACACCGGUGGCGAAGGCGGCUCUCUGGACCGAAACUGACGCUGAGGCGCGAAAGCGUGGGGAGCAAACAGG